This 215-nucleotide unclassified non-coding RNA is filed under the name Hevea brasiliensis (rubber tree). The record is from RNAcentral. Lineage: Eukaryota; Viridiplantae; Streptophyta; Magnoliopsida; Malpighiales; Euphorbiaceae.
AUGGAGUCUCCGGUGUACUUCUACAUCACAAGACUGCAAAGGGUAAUCCUCCAGUUACUUUUGCAAUUGCUGCAUGUGAAACUCAGAAUGUAAGUGUGACUGUUCUGCCAUCCUUUGGACUGUCUGAGGCAAGUUGUACCACAGCGAAGAGUAUGUGGGGUAAAAUGUUGCAGGAUGGACAAUUUGAUCGGGAGAACUUCAAUUGUGGACCAAGG